This 481-nucleotide ribosomal RNA is filed under the name uncultured bacterium. Its description in RNAcentral is "partial 16S ribosomal RNA". It matches the Rfam family "Bacterial small subunit ribosomal RNA", at positions 28 to 507 of the family's 1533-position model. The record is from RNAcentral.
GAUGAACGCUGGCGGCGUGCUUAACACAUGCAAGUCGAACGAAGCAUUUGCGACAGAUUUUUUCGGAAUGAAGUUGCUUAUGACUGAGUGGCGGACGGGUGAGUAACGCGUGGGUAACCUGCCUUGUACUGGGGGAUAGCAGCUGGAAACGGCUGGUAAUACCGCAUAAGCGCACAAUGUUGCAUGACAUGGUGUGAAAAACUCCGGUGGUAUAAGAUGGACCCGCGUCUGAUUAGCUAGUUGGUGAGAUAACAGCCCACCAAGGCGACGAUCAGUAGCCGACCUGAGAGGGUGACCGGCCACAUUGGGACUGAGACACGGCCCAGACUCCUACGGGAGGCAGCAGUGGGGAAUAUUGCACAAUGGAGGAAACUCUGAUGCAGCGACGCCGCGUGAGUGAAGAAGUAAUUCGUUAUGAAAAGCUCUAUCAGCAGGGAAGAUAGUGACGGUACCUGACUAAGAAGCUCCGGCUAAAUACGUG